This 1529-nucleotide ribosomal RNA is filed under the name Klebsiella pneumoniae. RNAcentral describes it as "bacterial SSU rRNA". It matches the Rfam family "Bacterial small subunit ribosomal RNA". Lineage: Bacteria; Pseudomonadati; Pseudomonadota; Gammaproteobacteria; Enterobacterales; Enterobacteriaceae. The record is from RNAcentral.
AGAGUUUGAUCAUGGCUCAGAUUGAACGCUGGCGGCAGGCCUAACACAUGCAAGUCGAGCGGUAGCACAGAGAGCUUGCUCUCGGGUGACGAGCGGCGGACGGGUGAGUAAUGUCUGGGAAACUGCCUGAUGGAGGGGGAUAACUACUGGAAACGGUAGCUAAUACCGCAUAACGUCGCAAGACCAAAGUGGGGGACCUUCGGGCCUCAUGCCAUCAGAUGUGCCCAGAUGGGAUUAGCUAGUAGGUGGGGUAAUGGCUCACCUAGGCGACGAUCCCUAGCUGGUCUGAGAGGAUGACCAGCCACACUGGAACUGAGACACGGUCCAGACUCCUACGGGAGGCAGCAGUGGGGAAUAUUGCACAAUGGGCGCAAGCCUGAUGCAGCCAUGCCGCGUGUGUGAAGAAGGCCUUCGGGUUGUAAAGCACUUUCAGCGGGGAGGAAGGCGAUAAGGUUAAUAACCUUGUCGAUUGACGUUACCCGCAGAAGAAGCACCGGCUAACUCCGUGCCAGCAGCCGCGGUAAUACGGAGGGUGCAAGCGUUAAUCGGAAUUACUGGGCGUAAAGCGCACGCAGGCGGUCUGUCAAGUCGGAUGUGAAAUCCCCGGGCUCAACCUGGGAACUGCAUUCGAAACUGGCAGGCUAGAGUCUUGUAGAGGGGGGUAGAAUUCCAGGUGUAGCGGUGAAAUGCGUAGAGAUCUGGAGGAAUACCGGUGGCGAAGGCGGCCCCCUGGACAAAGACUGACGCUCAGGUGCGAAAGCGUGGGGAGCAAACAGGAUUAGAUACCCUGGUAGUCCACGCCGUAAACGAUGUCGAUUUGGAGGUUGUGCCCUUGAGGCGUGGCUUCCGGAGCUAACGCGUUAAAUCGACCGCCUGGGGAGUACGGCCGCAAGGUUAAAACUCAAAUGAAUUGACGGGGGCCCGCACAAGCGGUGGAGCAUGUGGUUUAAUUCGAUGCAACGCGAAGAACCUUACCUGGUCUUGACAUCCACAGAACUUUCCAGAGAUGGAUUGGUGCCUUCGGGAACUGUGAGACAGGUGCUGCAUGGCUGUCGUCAGCUCGUGUUGUGAAAUGUUGGGUUAAGUCCCGCAACGAGCGCAACCCUUAUCCUUUGUUGCCAGCGGUCCGGCCGGGAACUCAAAGGAGACUGCCAGUGAUAAACUGGAGGAAGGUGGGGAUGACGUCAAGUCAUCAUGGCCCUUACGACCAGGGCUACACACGUGCUACAAUGGCAUAUACAAAGAGAAGCGACCUCGCGAGAGCAAGCGGACCUCAUAAAGUAUGUCGUAGUCCGGAUUGGAGUCUGCAACUCGACUCCAUGAAGUCGGAAUCGCUAGUAAUCGUAGAUCAGAAUGCUACGGUGAAUACGUUCCCGGGCCUUGUACACACCGCCCGUCACACCAUGGGAGUGGGUUGCAAAAGAAAGUAGGUAGCUUAACCUUCGGGAGGGCGCUUACCACUUUGUGAUUCAUGACUGGGGUGAAGUCGUAACAAGGUAACCGUAGGGGAACCUGCGGUUGGAUCACCU